This 331-nucleotide ribosomal RNA is filed under the name uncultured Anaerolineaceae bacterium. RNAcentral's name for it is "bacterial SSU rRNA". It matches the Rfam family "Bacterial small subunit ribosomal RNA", at positions 1036 to 1382 of the family's 1533-position model. Lineage: Bacteria; Bacillati; Chloroflexota; Anaerolineae; Anaerolineales; Anaerolineaceae. The record is from RNAcentral.
AGUGCUGCAUGGCUGUCGUCAGCUCGUGUCGUGAGAUGUUCGGUUAAGUCCGCUAACGAGCGCAACCCUCACUGUGUGUUAUAUGUGUCACACGGGACUGCCGGUUUUAAGCCGGAGGAAGGUGGGGAUGACGUCAAGUCAGCAUGGCCUUUAUAUCCUGGGCUACACACACGCUACAAUGGUCGGUACAAUAGGUUGCCAAGCCGCGAGGCGGAGCCAAUCCACAAAGCCGGCCUCAGUUCAGAUUGUAGGCUGCAACUCGCCUGCAUGAAGAUGGAGUUGCUAGUAACCGCAGGUCAGCUAUACUGCGGUGAAUACGUUCCCGGGGCUU